RNAcentral lists this ribosomal RNA (340 nucleotides) under uncultured Glomeromycotina. RNAcentral's name for it is "eukaryotic LSU rRNA". Lineage: Eukaryota; Fungi; Glomeromycota. The record is from RNAcentral.
AAUAGCCUUUCGGGUGCGAUUCUGUGGAGUUUGAGGAGCUUAACACCUUCAUGCUUUGCAUAUUCGUGCUCUUGGGUGUACUUGCCCGUGUGGUUGGUUAACAUCAAUUUCGGGCACCAUAAAAUGGCUGGAGGAAUGUAGCUUCGAUCUUGUAUUGAAGUGUUAUAGCCUUCGGUAGAUGUGGUGAUCGAGAUUGAGGAUUGCAACGGAUACCUUUCGGGGCUACCUGUCUGAUCUCUGAUCGUUGCUUUGGUGCUGAAAGCGUGCUUAUAGUUAUCAAAGUCGAUGGUCAAUAGGUUAGAAUGGGUAAAUUCGUUAAGGAUGUUGACGUAAUGGCUUU